RNAcentral lists this unclassified non-coding RNA (3378 nucleotides) under Leishmania donovani. Its description in RNAcentral is "gene:LdHU3.25.2130(CDS-product:diacylglycerol_acy ltransferase_putative)". Lineage: Eukaryota; Euglenozoa; Kinetoplastea; Trypanosomatida; Trypanosomatidae. The record is from RNAcentral.
CACCGCGCAAUCGUUGACGAAUAGCCUUUUUUCUGUCGUUGCUCCCCGCCCCCCCCCCCCACACACCACCACCACCACCACACACCCACCCUCUGUGUGUGUGUGUGUGGAGGGGAAGGGUGUAUUCCUCCCAUCUCGCCCUGUCAACACCUCGACCCGUCGCCCAUCACGCUGCGGUGCGGUGCUCAACGCGGACGUCCCUAAAGUCGCAUUUGUUCGCGUUGCGUGCCUGUGGGCGUCGAUGUGGGAAGGGGAGGAGGGCCGCAGUCCUUCUCCAUCUUCUCGUGCCUUCGUGUUCCCUUGUGUCCUCCUUUCCCCUCGCUCUCCAGCUUUGCCUCCCUCUUGGCCUGGCGUCCCCCGCAUCGCAAGCUUUCUGGAUCGCCACAACCGCCCCUCCCCUCACCUCCUUCACGGCUGUCAUCGAUCAUGGACGGAGCACCACAACAGCAACGGCUACAGCAGCAGCACCAAUCUCAGGUGCGUGCGCCGACUCCUCCGCGAUUGAAAUCGCCGCCUGCAUCAUCGCUACCGGCGCAAGAUGCAGCAACAAUCGCAGACACUGCAGAGGAUAAGGUCAACGCAGGCAGGCGCUCUUUGAUAGCGCAGCUCACCUCCACCAUCUCUUCCUCCUUUCAAUUUCUGGCCAACGAGGCGUCGGCCCGUAGCUGCGGUACGCAGCGCACGGGUGGCCACUGCACUAACGGACGUGUCGGCGAAGCAGGCCACCACGUCGAUAAGCCGCCGCUCACGCACGCGCGCCCGCCUGCCUCUCGAGAAGAGGUCGAGGAGGGCCUGGACAAGAUUCUUUACGCGAUUGACCACCUCCAGCAGCUGCAGCAGCGCGGCCGUUACAUCGCCAGCACCGAAGUGAAAAACCUCCGCCGCGCGUUCCUCUUCGCCGUUGGCGAGGAACAACGCUAUCGCGACGCUGUAGCAGCACAUGAGAGCGCGAGCGGGUGCUCCUCAGCACUCACUAUGCCAUCCCUGCCUGCGCAGUGCACACCGUUCAAGGAAACCAUCUCCAUGGCGGGCCCCACCGACACCGCUGCGGCGUCAUGGAGCGUUCCGAGAACGCCAUCAGCAGAUGGCCCAAGUGGAAAGGCAGCCGAGGAUGCAGUAGAAAUAUCUCGGCCCACAGAAGGAAAGCGGGAGUAUAGCCCAAAGGCGGCGGCGGCCGACAGGCUACUCGCCGCGCUGGAGCAUUACGUCGACGAGAACCCGUCCUCCACCUCCUUUGGCGCUCACGGCGCGCACUUCUCGUGGCGCAGCGUCAUCCACACCCCCGGCCAGCGGCGGCUGCAGUCGCUUAUUGUUUCCAUCUUCACCUUUUUCACGGGGAUCCCCAUCUGUAUGGCCAUCACGGGGCUGCUCCUGCUCUCGCGCUACACGGCGCCCUUCAUGGUGAUGUACCUCAUCUGGAUCUUCACCUUCGGGCGGCCCAGGCAUCCGCUGUGCAAGCACCAAACGUUCACGCGCUGCUUCGUGUGGCGCUACUACUGCGACUACUUCCCCAUACGCCUCGUCAUCCCCAGGCCGGUGCGGCGCCGCUUCGACAAGGAGCGCAACUACUUUUUUGUGUACCACCCGCACGGCAUUCACUCGUUCGGCGCCAUCGUCAACUUUGGGCUCGACCAGAACGAUGCGUCGAAGACGCUCCACGGCAUCACGAUCCACCUGCAGACCCUUAAGGUUAACCUCUACGUGCCCCUAUGGCGCCAACUUGCCAUCUGGGCGGGGUGCGGCGACGCCAGUGCUUCCUGCAUCCGAAAGACGCUCCGGUCCGGCCCUGGGCAGAGCAUCAUGCUCGUCGUUGGCGGGGCCGAGGAGUCGCUCAUGGCAAAGCCGAACCGCAACGACCUGCUCCUGUUCAAGCGCAAAGGCUUCAUCAAGAUCGCGCUCCAGGAGGGGACGCCGCUGGUGCCAGUGUACGGCUUCGGCGAGAACAACGUGUACAGCGUGCCGGAGCUGGCCGACGAGCCAUGGAUUCGGUACCUGAUGGUGCUGUGGAAGCAGUAUGUCGGCUUCGCCAUCCCGCUGGUGAGGGGUCGCGGAUUCUUCAACUUCAACUACGGGCUGCUGCCGCACCGCCGCCCGAUCGUGGUGGUGGUCGGGGAGCCGCUGGAGGUGCCGCACAUUCCUAACCCGACCAAGGAGGAUCUCGAGGUGUGGCAAGGCAAGUAUAUCGAGUGUCUUCGCAAGCUGUAUAACGAGCACCGUGGCAUCUACGACUUGGAGUCGACCGGUCUGCGCAUUAUGCAGUGAGCGCGCGAAAAUGACGGGGUCUGCACACGAGUGAGUCCGUGACGGGGAGAGAGAUGGCGAGAGAGCGCGCGCGCUUUUCGCCUUCUUCCCCACGCGGCACUGCGCAGUGCUCGAGUAAAGUUGAAGGCGAGUGCGUCACGCCUGCCCACGAAGCGCGCUCUUCCGGACACCCCCACCCUUCUUUUGCCUCCUCCUGCUAGUACACCUUUCUCACGCACACGCGCGCCCUUCGCCUCUGCAAAACAAAAAAGGGGGAGGGGGGCUAAGGUGUGUGCCAGUGUGUGUGUGUGUAUGUGUGUGUGUGCGGUCAAGCUGUGUGCACUCCACAAGUCCUCUCCUUUCAUGUAUCUUCAUGCCUUGUGUGUCCGGCUCUGUAGUCACCGUGUUGACGCUAAUGAUGUGCUGCUCACUCUCUUUUUCUUGUUUCGAUAGCGCUCAUGCCCAUCUUGUGAGCGGAGGUGCCACGGCAGUGCGUCCGUUGGGCGGCUGAGGCAUGUUUAUGCUGUUUCACCACAGGUUUAUGGGCCCAGGGAUGGCCUUGCCCUCUUCCUCCUUUCUCACAAGUGCCACUUUGGGCUUUCACCGCCACCUCUGCCACCUUCCCACGCAUACACCCUUCUCUCCCUGCCCGCCCGCCGACUUCCGCGCUCGCUGGCUCCGCCAGUGGAAGCUGUCGCCUGACGAGUGGCGCUCUUCGAGGAGGAGCUGGGGGAGAAGCACCGCCGUCUUGUGCUGGUGGACAUCGUCCAAUCGGGUGUUUCGAUGUGCCCUUGUGAAUGAAGUCCAACGUGUUUGGUUUCUUUCUUUGGUUGCACCCCCCCCACCCCCUUUCUGCGCCCUCUUGUCGGGUUGCUCUGUGUUGUCUUCCGUGCCUCUGCACUGUUUUCCUUUCUCCAUGUCUUUGUCUGUGCGAUAGGGUGCAUCCUCUUCGGCCGACCACCAGUGCACCGUCCCUCUAAUCGAGCGCGCACCAUCGGCAUGCAUUCAUCGGCUCAAUACAUGUUCCUUCCUUGCCCCUUCGUCAGCACCAUCGUAAACCCCCUCAUGUGAGAACACGAGUGCACGCAGAAAAAGGAGCGAGCGAGCGAAGGCAUAAAAAAAUGUUGUGGUUGCCUU